This 891-nucleotide small RNA is filed under the name Arabidopsis thaliana (thale cress). Its description in RNAcentral is "ATSL111870". The record is from RNAcentral. Lineage: Eukaryota; Viridiplantae; Streptophyta; Magnoliopsida; Brassicales; Brassicaceae.
UUAUUAUAAAAUGUUCAUUACAGACAUAGUUUUUUUAAUAUAUCUGAUGACAAAUUAAUACAAAUGCUUAUACCAACAAAUAAAAAUAAUGAAAGAAACUAAAUGAUAAAUAAAACUAAAACAUAAAUAAAUAAAUAAAAACAAAUACAAUCUUAGAGAGAUAACUCUUGAAUACGUAUGACCAAAUUAAUCUUGGUUCCCCAUAAAAGAUAUGAGUUUCCCACUCAUAUGUAUGCAACUUCUUGGUGUUAUAAUAGCUAGGUCUCUAUGCGUCUCAAAAUUUUGUGGUGUUCUACUUUGUAAUGUCAUUUUUAUAAAUUCGAGUUUUCUUUUUAUCACUUUCGUGUUUUGUCGUCUAGAAAAUUCAUGGUUAAUCACACGUUAAAUGUAGCAUUGUUGUUUAAUUAGAUCAUUCGUGCUUUGUUUUGAUCGUAUAGCUCAAGAGAUUAAUUACAGUUUGUUUUUAUCGAUAAACAUGAGUGAGAUGGUGUUGAUGACAAUUGGAGUUUAUAAUCAAAAGUUGUAAUAAAAACCUAACUAUGGGAAUCUUGUCACGCAGGUAAAAAAGACCCUUUAUCUCGUUUCUCUUAUUGUUCUCUCUAAAAUCGGAUUGGUGAUGAUUGUUGUUAUAACAGCCCAAGUAGUAGUAGGAGAUCAUCAGAUGAUAGCAUGAAGCUUUUUACAACAGCAUUGUUUGUUAUAGCUUUUGGCAUUGUUAUUGGACUAUCUUUUCCAUCUUUAUGGAUCACUGAGGUUCUUCUUAUUUCUCUUCAAAUCUUUUACUUCUUAGAUUUUAUACUUCGUUUGUCGCAUGCCAUUUUUGUAUUGUGUAGACAAGUCUCCCGAGAAACCUUCUUCGCUCCACUCACUUAGAGAUUCAGGAAUUGCAAC